RNAcentral lists this ribosomal RNA (494 nucleotides) under uncultured bacterium. Its description in RNAcentral is "partial 16S ribosomal RNA". It matches the Rfam family "Bacterial small subunit ribosomal RNA", at positions 28 to 507 of the family's 1533-position model. The record is from RNAcentral.
GACGAACGCUGGCGGCGUGCCUAAUACAUGCAAGUCGAGCGGACUUAAAAAGCUUGCUUUUUAAGUUAGCGGCGGACGGGUGAGUAACACGUGGGCAACCUGCCUGUAAGACUGGGAUAACUUCGGGAAACCGGAGCUAAUACCGGAUAAUCCUUUUCUACUCAUGUAGAAAAGCUGAAAGACGGUUUACGCUGUCACUUACAGAUGGGCCCGCGGCGCAUUAGCUAGUUGGCGAGGUAACGGCUCACCAAGGCGACGAUGCGUAGCCGACCUGAGAGGGUGAUCGGCCACACUGGGACUGAGACACGGCCCAGACUCCUACGGGAGGCAGCAGUAGGGAAUCUUCCGCAAUGGACGAAAGUCUGACGGAGCAACGCCGCGUGAGUGAUGAAGGUUUUCGGAUCGUAAAACUCUGUUGUUAGGGAAGAACAAGUACGAGAGUAACUGCUCGUACCUUGACGGUACCUAACCAGAAAGCCACGGCUAACUACGUG